RNAcentral lists this ribosomal RNA (207 nucleotides) under uncultured bacterium. RNAcentral describes it as "partial 16S ribosomal RNA". It matches the Rfam family "Bacterial small subunit ribosomal RNA", at positions 1287 to 1500 of the family's 1533-position model. The record is from RNAcentral.
CUCAGUUCGGAUUGGAGUCUGCAACCCGACUCCAUGAAGCUGGAUUCGCUAGUAAUCGCGCAUCAGCCACGGCGCGGUGAAUACGUUCCCGGGCCUUGUACACACCGCCCGUCAAGCCAUGGAAGCCGGGGGGUGCCUGAAGUGCGCUGCCGCAAGGAGCGCCCUAGGGUAAAACCGGUGACUGGGGCUAAGUCGUAACAAGGUAAC